This 72-nucleotide transfer RNA is filed under the name Trichonephila inaurata madagascariensis. It matches the Rfam family "tRNA". Rfam says of the family: Transfer RNA (tRNA) molecules are approximately 80 nucleotides in length. Their secondary structure includes four short double-helical elements and three loops (D, anti-codon, and T loops). Lineage: Eukaryota; Metazoa; Arthropoda; Arachnida; Araneae; Nephilidae. The record is from Rfam by way of RNAcentral.
GGGGGUAUAGCUCAGUGGUACAGCAUUCGACUGCUAAUCGAGAGGUCUCCGGUUCAAACCAAGGUGCCCUCU